UUAGAACAAAUUCAUUAGCUGUUCUAUAUGUUCUAGGGUAAGUUGCAAUGUAGGAAAAGGUAGGAAUGAGUCUCACUUCUUUCAAACACAUUAGGCAGACGUCUGGAAAUAAGGAACAAUGAGGGCGACAAAUUUGAAGCGUCUCAUUUGUGUUAAGUAUCUGAUGAAUGAUUUUCCAUGAAAACUCCUUUACCUUUAAAGAUGCUAACACUUUUC
Molecule: long non-coding RNA, 216 nt
Filed under: Carica papaya (papaya)
Lineage: Eukaryota; Viridiplantae; Streptophyta; Magnoliopsida; Brassicales; Caricaceae
Description: long non-coding RNA (CPAP_LNC003085)
Source: RNAcentral